This 439-nucleotide ribosomal RNA is filed under the name uncultured bacterium. Its description in RNAcentral is "partial 16S ribosomal RNA". It matches the Rfam family "Bacterial small subunit ribosomal RNA", at positions 339 to 795 of the family's 1533-position model. The record is from RNAcentral.
CCACGGAGGGCUCCAGUGAGGAAUAUUGCACAAUGGGGGGAACCCUGAUGCAGCAACGCCGCGUGGAGGAUGACGCAUUUCGGUGUGUAAACUCCUUUUAUAUGUCAAGAAAAUGACGGUAGCAUAUGAAUAAGCACCGGCUAACUCCGUGCCAGCAGCCGCGGUAAUACGGAGGGUGCAAGCGUUACUCGGAAUCACUGGGCGUAAAGGACGCGUAGGCGGGUUGGAAAGUCAGGUGUGAAAUCCUACAGCUUAACUGUAGAACUGCACUUGAAACUUCUAAUCUAGAGUAUGGGAGGGGGAGAUGGAAUUAGUGGUGUAGGGGUAAAAUCCGUAGAUAUCACUAGGAAUACCUAAAGCGAAGGCGAUCUCCUGGAACAUUACUGACGCUAAGGCGUGAAAGCGUGGGGAGCAAACAGGAUUAGAUACCCCAGUAGUC